Molecule: long non-coding RNA, 471 nt
Organism: Cyprinodon tularosa
Lineage: Eukaryota; Metazoa; Chordata; Actinopteri; Cyprinodontiformes; Cyprinodontidae
Exons: 3
Source: RefSeq, a predicted model, not a curated record
CCACUUUCUCCACCAGAGGGCGCACAAGAUCUCCUGGAGCAUGAGCCGACCACACCACCUGCCUCUCAUCUGCUCAUCAGGAGAUCCAUACUUAAGGAGGCGGAGGGCUUCACUCCAGUGCCAGAGUGUUUGCCAGUAACGGUUGAUCCUGCCUGAUUACCUGAAACUCUGGAGAGUUUCUCUGCCAGUGAUCUGUCUGCUCGUUCUCAGUAGGACUCUGGAGAGCAGCCUCAGUCAAGUACCUGCCUGCCCGCUCUCAGAAGAUUACUGGAAGGAAAACUCAAUCAGUGAUCUGCCUGCACUCUGUAAGCUCUGCCUCGGCCUCUGCCCUCAGCCUGCCGACAACCUCUGGACCCUCAAGGUUCCCCCCUCUUCAGCUCUGCUCCAUUUCCGAACAGCAGUGAACCCACUCGUGACCAGUCAAGCCCCCUCUUGGAUCUGAACAUACUUUGUACAUUUAAUAUUAAUAAA